ACUACCCUCCCCAGACCUUAUUAGUAGGAUUAUACUGGAUUGUUGUUGUUGUUGUAUAUUUAUUUUUGGUGUUUGGCAGGCUACUUUUGUUUAGGCAUAUUUGGCAAAAGCGCACCGGUUCUUGAGCUUGAGCUGUUGCAUUUUCUCUCAGGAAUGCUUUUGAAAUUUGUCAAUGUUAGUAGCAAGACACUUUAGGUAUUGCUUUGUUUGAUCUUCAGGCUUUGAAUUGAAAUCUGACGAUCCCUUACAAAAACUGCCACUAUAUGAUUAAUCAAGCUAAGGUAAUUAUUGUGCAUGGAGAUUAGGACGAGUUAGUUAGAAUUGGUGAUUUUGUGAAACAUAUGUUGUCUAAAAAACUUUAUGAUUGUUGUGAGCUUCCUUAUCGUCCUAUUAUAUCUAUCUAUACUAUAUUAAAAUCAUAUAUUAAAAAUCAUGAAUCCUUAAAAGUUAAAUUACUUAAAUGUCCCUUUAAAUAAUAUUAAAAUCCUAAUUUAUUUAUUAAAAAAAUAACGCCUACAAGAGGACGUUUCAUGCUUUAUUAAGAGAUACAAUUUACAACCAUUUUAUGAGGGUAAAAACACAUUGAAUAGCUAACUCCAAAAGGUGUUAUUGUUGAUAAUCUGAUGGCCGAUAGGUACCAAUCAUUGUCGAAAUAUGACAAUAUUAAAGGGUAAAAACACAUUGAAUAGCUAACUCCAAAAGGUGUUAUUGUUGAUAAUCUGAUGGCCGAUAGGUACCAAUCAUUGUCGAAAUAUGACAAUAUUAAAGGGUAAAAACACAUUGAAUAGCUAACUCCAAAAGGUGUUAUUGUUGAUAAUCUGAUGGCCGAUAGGUACCAAUCAUUGUCGAAAUAUGACAAUAUCCAAAGGCAGAUCAAAUACCAACAUUACCUAUUUAACCGAAUAAGUUGUAUUUGACUCUAUCAAGAUAUCUCUACAUGUGCAAAAAUAUUUUAAUAUGUAUAUAUACCUUGAAAUUGCACUAAAAUUGCAUUCAUUUACCAUUGAUCCUGAAUUUCACAUUUACAUUACCUCUCUUCAAUUUUUUACAUUCACACUUUGCUCCACUAUAUAUUAUGUUCGUCAACAAUCCGUUCGCAAUAUUGCACGCAAAUCAAUAGAUAACCAAAACUUAAUCCGUUUGAUACCUUUGAGUUUGCUUUUAGGAAUUAUAGUUAAAGGUGGUGACUAUUUUUCGAAUUAGUUUCUUCAUCUAUGUUGCUAUAACCUCAUUUUUCUUCUAUGUCGGAAAAUUUGAUUGGCAAUGGAUGUGGAUUACACGUGAAUCUACUAUAUCCAAUCCUGCAAAUGACCGAAGCCACAAAAUCAACAAACAAUACCUUACUUCUUCAAUUAAAAUUUUGGUGACAAGUAUCAGCUUCUUCUAGAAUUCGUAAAGACAAUUAUUCAAUCAAAAAGAAGCAUCGCUGUAAUCUGUACUAUAGGUAUAAGUCAAUUCGAUAUUGUUAUCUAUAUAGCUAAAUGAUUGAGGGUGUGUUGUAAAUAAACUUAUUUUAUUGG
Long non-coding RNA from Nicotiana tabacum (common tobacco), 1520 nucleotides. RefSeq lists it as uncharacterized. The record is from RefSeq and is a predicted model, not a curated record. Lineage: Eukaryota; Viridiplantae; Streptophyta; Magnoliopsida; Solanales; Solanaceae.